Molecule: ribosomal RNA, 444 nt
Filed under: uncultured Hyphomonadaceae bacterium
Lineage: Bacteria; Pseudomonadati; Pseudomonadota; Alphaproteobacteria; Hyphomonadales; Hyphomonadaceae
Description: bacterial SSU rRNA
Rfam family: Bacterial small subunit ribosomal RNA
Source: RNAcentral
UUCCUACGGGGGGCUGCAGUGGGGAAUCUUGGACAAUGGGCGCAAGCCUGAUCCAGCCAUGCCGCGUGGAUGAUGAAGGCCCUAGGGUUGUAAAAUCCUUUCGUUGGGGACGAUAAUGACGGUACCCAAAGAAGAAGCUCCGGCUAACUUCGUGCCAGCAGCCGCGGUAAUACGAAGGGGGCUAGCGUUGUUCGGAUUUACUGGGCGUAAAGCGCGUGUAGGCGGGCUGGAAAGUUGGGGGUGAAAUCCCGAGGCUCAACCUCGGAACUGCCUCCAAAACUUCCAGCCUGGACUCAAGCAGAGGCAAGUGGAAUUGCGAGUGUAGAGGUGAAAUUCGUAGAUAUUCGCAGGAACACCAGUGGCGAAGGCGACUUGCUGGGCUUGUAGUGACGCUGAGACGCGAAAGCGUGGGGAGCAAACAGGAUUAGAUACCCCAGUAGUCGA